Lactuca sativa (garden lettuce) is the source of this 1409-nucleotide long non-coding RNA. RefSeq lists it as uncharacterized. Lineage: Eukaryota; Viridiplantae; Streptophyta; Magnoliopsida; Asterales; Asteraceae. The record is from RefSeq and is a predicted model, not a curated record.
CCUUCCAAUCGACGCUAUACACACAAUUCCUCACCGUUUCAUUCUUCCAAUCAAAGUCUUCCAACAUCCAUUUACGUUUCUUCUACUACACAUUUGGUGUUCCGCCCAAAUUCAUAUUCUCCAAUAAUUAUCAUCAAUGAUAAUCCUUCAUCCAUUUUUCUUUUCGCCAAGUUGUGCUUCUAACUCUCAUCUUCAUUCGUCUUCAGUGUGAAUCCCAUUCUUUUCCCUGCAUCUAGUCUUCUGAUUCCUUACUUCCUAGUCCUCGAAUAAACGUCAAGUCGUCGAUUUUCACAUCGACGGUGUCAGGAUUGAUCUUCAGAUGCAGCUUGAACUGCCAUUGUCAUGGAAUACCAUAUGUAUUUUGCUCUCUUUUCGAUUGAAGCUUCACAUUCUCCUUUAAUCAAUUUAUUCAUUGCCUCUUUGGCUUCGAAAUUUAAACCUUAAUUUUGUUUUCCCCCAAUUUCCCUUUAUUCAUCUUCAAUUUGAUUGUUUUGGAAUUAACAUCAUAUCGUGUAUAUGGUCUUCUCUCAUAAUGAUGUGGCUUGAAGCUUGAUUGGGGCAUGGCUUCCGAAAUGAUCUUCUAAGAUGGUUGCAGAUAUGAAGCCAACAUUUAUCAGAAUUCCGGGUAUUUCGAUCGAAAAUGGAGGCAUGUUGAUUUUGCUUUCACAGGAAACCCUAUGCGUCGAUUGAGCAGUAAAUAGGUUUAAUUGCACCGAGAGAUGAAAUUGAGGAGAAAGCAAGAGUGGCAGUAUUUGUCGCAGAUGAGGGCGGCAGAUAUGGGGAUUGAAGAUGAAGGGAGGUUGUUGAUAUUAGGGAUGGUGAUGUUGGGAUUUUUGUCGAUGUUUUUUAGCCAUUUUCCAUUGUAUAGAAUUGAGAAGCAUUUGCUCAUCCCUCGCCAUCCUAUGGAUAGCAGUGACCAGUAUCGUCUUCACAAAAUCGAACCUAUUGGGCGUUUGAUAAAUUCGUAUGUGAAUAAUCCAUUGAAAUUCUAUGCUCGAGACCAGAAGUCAAUAUAGAGAAUGCUUGAAGAACCUUUCCACUAUGUGAAGUUCUUGCAGCUUGAAAUUAAGGUUUUGAAGAGGAAAAGAAAGAAAACAUGGAGGGACGAUAGUAUAUUCUAGCAGAAUGUAUUCAUACAGAAUGCCAUUGACAUUAUGUUCUUAAAGAAUGGAGGCAUGUUAAUAUAAUUAUUGAAGCUGAUGCUUGAAGAACGGACCACGAAAUUUGAACGACGCCUCUUAGCAACAUUAUUCUUUUAGAAUGUAUUAGUGUCUUUGUUAGAUUUUGAUGUUUUUUUUUCAAGAUUUGAAAGUUUUUUUAGUUUUAUUUUUUUAACAAUAAAUGUAACUCUUAGAAAUUGUUACAUGUAUUCUAUAAGAAUUAAUGUAAUUUUUGUUUUAAUUAUUCAA